UGCCAUCCAAGACACUUUCCCUGUAUUAGAAGAACUAACACUGAAGACGAAUGAUAUGGUGAAGGGGAUAUGUGAUGGACAACUCUCAUUGCAGUGUUUCCAAAACCUUAAGCAUCUUAACCUCCAAUUCUUUCCCAAGACAUCCACUACUCUUCCGUAUUCCUUCAUUCGGUCUCUACCAAUGCUUCAUAAGCUUGUUAUAGACAAUGCUUCCAUUUGUCAAAUAGUACAAUCUGAAGGACUCAGGGACCAGGAAAGGCAUACAUCAGCAUUCUAUCAGCUAAAGGAAUUAAGUUUGUCUCAACUUCCAGAGUUGACGUUAAAGACUUUUGAACCAUCUUUGCUGUCUUUCAAAAAUCUAACAACACUGGAAGUUUCGAGAUGCCAUGGGUUCAUCAAUUUAAUCGUAUGCUCAACAGCUAAGUGCCUGACGCUACUGGAAAGAUUGAGCAUAGAUGAUUGUGAGAUGAUAGAGGAAAUCAUAACGUGUGAGGCUGAAGAAAUACAAGGCGGCAUUGUAUUUCCCAAACUGAAGUAUUUGCAGCAAGUUGCCUGCCAUGUCUAGCAAGCUUUUCCUUGGCCCAUCACUCGUUGGAAUUCCCAGUCUUGCUAAUGGUGAUGGUGACAAAGUGCCUCCAAAUGAGGAAUUUCUGCCAAGGAGAUUUAAGCACACCAAGGCUGGAACAAAUGCACUUAACAAGAGAUGAGGAAGGUGAACUGCAGUGGGAAGGCGACCUUAACACUACCAUAAAACAUAUGUUCGAUGAAAUGAAUGUGCAAAAUUCUGAGGUGACGGAGGUUAC
Long non-coding RNA from Gossypium raimondii (Peruvian cotton), 803 nucleotides. RefSeq lists it as uncharacterized. The transcript has 3 exons. Lineage: Eukaryota; Viridiplantae; Streptophyta; Magnoliopsida; Malvales; Malvaceae. The record is from RefSeq and is a predicted model, not a curated record.